GAUGAACGCUGGCGGCGUGCCUAAUACAUGCAAGUCGAGCGAACGGACGCGAAGCUUGCUUCUCUGAUGUUAGCGGCGGACGGGUGAGUAACACGUGGAUAACCUACCUAUAAGACUGGGAUAACUUCGGGAAACCGGAGCUAAUACCGGAUGAUAUUUUGAACCGCAUGGUUCAAAAGUGAAAGACGGUCUUGCUGUCACUUAUAGAUGGAUCCGCGCUGCAUUAGCUAGUUGGUAAGGUAACGGCUUACCAAGGCAACGAUGCAUAGCCGACCUGCGAGGGUGGUCGGCCACACUGGAACUGAGACACGGUCCAGAGUCCUACGGGAGGCAGCAGUAGGGAAUCUGCCGCAAUGGGCGAAAGCCUGACGGAGCAACGCCGCGUGAGUGAUGAAGGUCUUCGGAUCGUAAAACUCUGUUAUGAGGGAAGAACAUAUGUGUAAGUAACUGUGCACAUCUUGACGGUACCUAAUCAGAAAGCAACGGCUAACUACGUG
RNAcentral lists this ribosomal RNA (497 nucleotides) under uncultured bacterium. RNAcentral's name for it is "partial 16S ribosomal RNA". It matches the Rfam family "Bacterial small subunit ribosomal RNA", at positions 28 to 507 of the family's 1533-position model. The record is from RNAcentral.